UCAGCCUUGAAAGAACAAGUUCUGAGAGAGAGUAACAAGAACACAUCUUCUCAGCUGCCUCGGCCUUCGUCAGAUGGACUCUUGUACUCUCGUAUGGGGUCACUCAAGAGACGAUCCUUUUCCGGUCCAAUUACAAAUAAACCAUUACCUAACAAGCCUCUCUCUUCAGCGCCUCGUUUAUACUCAGGUCCAAUCCCAAGGAGUUCAGUUUCCAAGUUACCAAAAGUGUCGACAUCAUCUCCAACUGCUUCUCCUACAUUUGUCUCAACCCCGAAAAUAAGCGAGCUCCAUGAGCUUCCUAGACCACCACCACCAUCAAGCAUCUCUGCUAAGUCCUCGAGGGUAUUUGGAUAUUCAGCACCUUUGGUUUCGAAGAGCCAAUUGCUUAGUAAACCUCUUGUUUCAAGUUCAGCAGCUCCUCUCCCAAUACCACCUGCAAUCACUCGUAGCUUCUCUAUACCUACUAGCAACCUUAGAGCAACAGAGUUAGACAUGUCUAAGACGAGUGUGGGCGCUAAUAAGUUAAGCACUGCCUCGCCUCCUUUAACCCCCAUGUCAUUGAGCCAUCCACCUCCAUCUGCUAUUACCGAGCACGCAGAGCACCUAACGAUAUCCAAACAAGAGGUAACCAUAGAUUCUCUAUACAUUUCUGAACUGUUCAAGUGUUCUGAUAUUUGUUCUAAUGUGUGAGUUGUAGAGGACUUGAAGGUGUAAGCUUAUAGGAGGAGGAAGACAUUCCCUCUAGUUGCAGAUAUGUAAAAUAUCCCUCCUGUUUUGUUCUGACAAUGCUGAAAGAAAAAAAAACGAGAGAGAGUCAAACAGUGAUUGCCAAGUAAUUUUGAUUUUCUAUAAUUAUUCAUAGGUUUAUAACAUUACGAUUAUUUAUUAAAGUCAAUUUAUAAGAUUACUGAAUUUUGAAAUAAUAUAGUUGUUGAAUUGAUUGGUUGCUAAAUAGUCAGAUUCUCCCCAAUUGGUAAUUACCACUUUAGUAAACAUUGAGUAUGUAUGACCCAUAUAAUAAACUUAUAAAUUUCCUUGGACAAGGUUAAGAAAAGCAGUCCCAUAUUGAGCUGAAGAUCGAUCAUUACAUUUUUCAAGGUAAGUGAUGCAGAAAAAAAACGUUGCACGCUAACUUGUGAUCUCACAUGUAUUCCCUUAACACGCUACCAUGUUUCAGUUCUUACCUUCCUCGUUUCAUUGUGUUAUUGUAAAAAAAAGGCCCUUACAAUUGAUCAACAUAUAAGAGGCCUAGGCCCAAAAUAACAGCAAUAAGAAAGUGAACCCAUGCAUCAUACUAAACAAAACGAGAUUAGCUUUCCGGUUACAAUUCCGAAACUAAAAAAACAAGAAAAAAAGAGAGCAACGUGGUAUAUUUGGUUUCGAUGGAGAAGAGAGAGGAGACUCACACAUACAAACACACUUUGAUGUCACUUUCGAUCUGAAACAUCUCUAUCUCUGUUCAGAGAUUCCCUUCUUAGGCCCCAUUGUCUCUCUUUCUCUUAUGUUACGAACCUCUCUUGUACCAGCAAAUACCAUAACAUAUACAGUACUAAAAAAUAUCUUAUUGAAUUAAGAGAAAUUGGUUAUAAUAGCCAUUAAAAACUAUAAACUAAGUAACCAUAGUAAUACAAUGGCGAGAACAUUGUGUGUAUUAUACAUUGUUGUUCUUUUACUAAGAUUUAUUUGUGUAUGGUUCAAUGUAAUACAAAAUUUACAUUGUUAUCUUUUUGUAAACGCCACAUAUUUAUUUUUCUUUGUUUACACCCAUUUUCAAAUCCUUUUUCUUUUAAUGUUACAACACAAUUUCUAUAAAAAAACUAUUAUAGCUAAAAGAAAAUUUACAUUUUCCACAUACAUGGUAACUUAAAUCUUUUAAACACAUACAAAUUCCUCAAAACUUAUGAAACUUUUUAGAAGUAAAAAUGUAUUGUCCUAUUUUAUAUGUUAUAUAUAAUGACAUACCUUCUAAAUACUCUACAGUUCUCUACAGUACAAUAAAAUUGUUUCCUUAUGUCGAAAUCUAUAAUAUAUUACCAAUUUAUAUGGUAAGGUUCAAUCAGGAAAUUUAUAUGUCAACCCUAUAUUCUAUUUUGACAAUGUUGGUUAUGCAAAUGUUUUCAUAGUUCAGUUUAGAUUAUGUGUUUGUCUAAAUUGAUGCAGUUUAUUACAAAAUCUAUUGUAUAACUUUAUAUAGUAUAGUUCGGUAUGGUAUUCUAAUGUAAGGACAUUUCAUCCAAAAUUCAAUCAAUUGAUUGUUACACUACUUUAUGGUUAUUUUCUUAUUUUUUCCGCUAUGGGUACUGAGAGCAAAUUCACCUUUGAAUAAUAUCCUUUCUCAAAACUAAAAAAUCUAUAAUAUUAUUUGGUAUAAAAGCAAAAACAAAAUCAUUUCUUUCUAUGAAAAAAGAAAAGAAAAGAAAAGAACAAAACUGGAUUGGACUGGUUCUGUCGCUUUCCCUUUUUACACUUCCGACAGAUUCCUUUGGCAAUUCUCUCUUCCACAAUUUUCACAAUUUUUUGUUUUAUUUAUUUUUCUGGUUAAACAUAUUUACGGAAAACAUAUCAUUUACCUCCAGACAAUACAUAUAUUUGUCUAUCAAAAUCUCUUAUCUUUUGUAUUUUUGUACAAAUUGAAAACUGUAAUAGUUGUCUUUGCAUGUGUGAGUGUACGUAUGGCCGUAUGGGGCAUAUCAGGGUAUGCGUUUCUUUGACCAGUUUGAUAAUAAAGGUUACAUUUUCAUACAUAUAUUAAUAUAUACGUGAUACGUGAACCUAAUAUCUUAGUUAACCACACUGUAUAAUAUAGCAUGCUUGAUGUUUGUACCUAAUAUGUUAGGUCUAUCAUAUGGUUUUCAGUUUUUCACUAGUCUUGAUGAGUAAAAAAAAUUGUGGAGUAUUUCUUUUUUUUUUGGUAAAAAUGUUAAGAUAUUAUUAUCAAUUUUCAAAUUUUUGACAGAAUUACAAAGACGACAAGAAGCAGAAAACAUAAAAGAAAAAUCUAAACACAGACACGAUCUAAACGCAAUAGGGACCGGACACAACAAACAGGUUGCAAUUCGGAGGCCUCAACUAAUCCGAACCUUCGCUUGCCGCAAAAGGAACGAGCCGCAGUUAAAUCAAGAGAUAGAACCCGGUAAUUUUGGCCUCCCCGAUCAUCUACUCUUUAUGAUAGGCUCGACUAAGAACAGCUCGAAAAGCAAAUAAAAUAAAGAGUCUAUGCUGAAGAUGAAUGCCAACAUUUGUUCAGUUUUUAGAGUUACGUGAGUAUUGUAGGGGAAAAUUUGGAAAUCUGAUUGGUCUCAUGGUGGGAAUACCAUUCCUUAGUUAUUAAAUUAUCUCCUCUUAUAUUUGUUCUUUUGUGCACAAAUUAUCUCCUCUUAUCUAAACUUCCGUUCAUGAUAGCGGGCAAAAAGUAUUUCUAUUCAUGGAACUUUUUUUAGCUUUUCAGGAAUGUUUAUGAAGGCAUGCUUACAAGGCAGAGGGAGAAAGGGAGGUCGAAAGGUGGGAAAGGAGAAAAUUUUUCGGCGCAGCAACUACAACAAGCUCAUGAGGAAUAUGAUAACGAGACAACUUUAUUUGUUUUCCGCUUAAAAUCUCUGAAACAAGGGCAAACACGUAGUCUUUUGACUCAGGCAGCACGGCACCAUGCAGCGCAGGUUUUCUUCCUGAGCCGUGUCCUUGUCCCUCUGUUUCGAUCACCAGAACACCGUGUUGAUGUCCCUUUUGUGUGUGUUUAUGCAGUUAUGCUUCUUCAAGAAGGCUCUUAAUUCCCUUGAAGAAGUAGAGCCGCAUGUACAGAUGGUAACCGAGUCGCAGCAUAUUGAUUACCAUUUCAGUGGAUUGGAAGAUGAUGACGAAAUAGAAAACAAUGAAGAAGAUGAUUCUGAGGUGAAUGAUGAUGGAGAACUGAGUUUUGAGUAUAGAAUGAGUGACAAGGACCAAAAUGCAGAUUCUUCACCUAGUGUCUCCUCACAGGUGAUUUUUCAUAUAUUUACGGUUCUGGUGAUAUAUCCUGUUUAUCCCUUUUGGUGCUUUUGAAGAUUGGUCAUAGGAUAGUGAUACUCUGUAUGCCAAAUACUUGUCCUAAUUGUGACCAACUUAAUGCAUGCAGUUGGGUCAGUCAGACAUCACAUUUCCACUAGUUGCAGGACUAAACACUGCACAGGUAAUAUAAUCUACUUUGGAUCAUAUCUUCUCUACUUUUCCUUUCAGAUGACCCGGAAAAUUUCUCAGGAUGCUCAUUGUUCAAUGAAUUUUUUUAUUCAGCUGGAAAAUAAGGAAGCAAGCUACGGGAGAUCUCGUUCUUACAGGAGAGAUGUUAGGAUUGAGAGCCAAUCAGCACCCCUUUUUGCUGAGAACCGGACAAUGCCUCCUUCAGAGAAGCUCUUACGGAUGCGUUCAUCUCUGACACGGAAGUUCAGCACGUAUGCAUUGCCAACACCUGUGGAAACAGCUAGAAGUCCCUCAUCUAUUACAAUUCUAGCUAACAACAACAUGGCUUCUUCUAAUCCCGCAAAGGCAAUAACAAAAAACAAUUGGUAUUCAUCCCCACUGGAAGCUCGCGGACCCUCAAAGGUUUCUUCUAGACCGAUGUCAGCCUUGAAAGAACAAGUUCUGAGAGAGAGUAACAAGAACACAUCUUCUCAGCUGCCUCGGCCUUCGUCAGAUGGACUCUUGUACUCUCGUAUGGGGUCACUCAAGAGACGAUCCUUUUCCGGUCCAAUUACAAAUAAACCAUUACCUAACAAGCCUCUCUCUUCAGCGCCUCGUUUAUACUCAGGUCCAAUCCCAAGGAGUUCAGUUUCCAAGUUACCAAAAGUGUCGACAUCAUCUCCAACUGCUUCUCCUACAUUUGUCUCAACCCCGAAAAUAAGCGAG
This 4878-nucleotide long non-coding RNA is filed under the name Brassica napus (rape). RNAcentral describes it as "long non-coding RNA (BNAP_LNC015087)". Lineage: Eukaryota; Viridiplantae; Streptophyta; Magnoliopsida; Brassicales; Brassicaceae. The record is from RNAcentral.